Molecule: transfer RNA, 85 nt
Filed under: Chitinophagales bacterium
Lineage: Bacteria; Pseudomonadati; Bacteroidota; Chitinophagia; Chitinophagales
Description: tRNA-Ser
Rfam family: tRNA
About the family: Transfer RNA (tRNA) molecules are approximately 80 nucleotides in length.
Source: RNAcentral
GGAAAAUAAUGCCAAAUGGUUUGGCAACUGCCUGCUAAGCAGCUUGUACCUUGAUAGGUAUGUGGUUCGACUCCACUGUUUUUCG